UACGAAGGGGGCUAGCGUUGCUCGGAAUCACUGGGCGUAAAGCGCACGUAGGCGGAUCUUUAAGUCAGGGGUGAAAUCCCAAGGCUCAACCUUGGAACUGCCUUUGAUACUGGGGAUCUCGAGUCCGGAAGAGGUUGGUGGAACUGCGAGUGUAGAGGUGAAAUUCGUAGAUAUUCGCAAGAACACCAGUGGCGAAGGCGGCCAACUGGUCCGGU
This 215-nucleotide ribosomal RNA is filed under the name uncultured bacterium. RNAcentral's name for it is "partial 16S ribosomal RNA". It matches the Rfam family "Bacterial small subunit ribosomal RNA", at positions 524 to 738 of the family's 1533-position model. The record is from RNAcentral.